GGAUUGUAGUCUGCAACUCGACUACAUGAAGCUGGAAUCGCUAGUAAUCGCGAAUCAGAAUGUCGCGGUGAAUACGUUCCCGGGUCUUGUACACACCGCCCGUCACACCAUGGGAGUCAGUAACGCCCGAAGUCAGUGACCCAACCGUAACCGGAGGGAGCUGCCGAAGGCGGGACCGAUAACUGGGGUGAAGUCGUAACAAGGUAAC
This 208-nucleotide ribosomal RNA is filed under the name uncultured bacterium. RNAcentral's name for it is "partial 16S ribosomal RNA". It matches the Rfam family "Bacterial small subunit ribosomal RNA", at positions 1295 to 1500 of the family's 1533-position model. The record is from RNAcentral.